AUGAAGUGUAUUAGAGAAGUAUUGAAUUUCUUUUGAAUAAAUAAAUCAAAAUAACAAAUCAAAUCAAAAAGUAAUUCAAGCUUUAAUUGUUUAAUUGUUGAAAAAGAAGAAUACAUGGUUUUUAAUUUUUUUCACAAAUAAAAAAAAUCUAAUCUAAGUGUUACAUGCAUUUUUAUUCAGGCACCCUGGAUAAUAAACUUGUAGAACCACCUUUUGCUGUAAUUGAAGCUCUACUUGGAAGUUUUUGCACGUGUGUGUGUCCCCUACAUGACUUGUGAAAAACUUUGAACGACUUGUAUUUUUCUUCUUGGCACUUUUCCAUAAAGGCCAGCUUUGCGGCGUCCACACCUAGUAGGUGUCUUCUCAACCGAUUCUCCUAGGUGAGCUGUGGAGCACUACAUCUCAUACGGAAAUUGAAGUACCCUGGAAAAAAGUUGCAUGGGCAGAGUUCUUCCUUGUUGCCUGCAGCCUCCACUGGUUGCAUUGGGGAGGACAGGUGCAUGAAGGUCUUGAUCCCACUGGCUGAGUAAAAGACUGCAUCUUCGAAGAAACCUUGGAUCCAAUAUAAAUGACUCCACCAUGCGUCCCUGCUCCAACCAAUCAGCAUCGAGUCCACAUUUCCUCUUCAGCCAACAACCGUCCAAGGCUCUGCUUUAAAGAUCUUCACUCAUGGACUUCCUCGCUCUUCAAGCUGAGCUGUGACCCUCCUCCUCCCCAUCUCCAUAAUCUGGCAUCGGAUCCUGGGGGAAAGAAAUCUCUAAUACUAAUCAUAAGUUGUUCAUUCAAGCUCAUGUCAUUCUCAGCG
This is a long non-coding RNA of Girardinichthys multiradiatus, 805 nucleotides long. RefSeq lists it as uncharacterized. NCBI's taxonomy places the organism in Eukaryota, Metazoa, Chordata, Actinopteri, Cyprinodontiformes, Goodeidae. The transcript has 3 exons. The record is from RefSeq and is a predicted model, not a curated record.